GAGUUUGAUCCUGGCUCAGGACGAACGCUGGCGGCGCGCUUAACACAUGCAAGUCGAGCGAGAACCUGGCCUUCGGGCCUGGGAAAGCGGCGAACGGGUGAGUAACACGUGGGUAACCCACCCUUGGUACCGGGAUAGCCCGGGGAAACCCGGAUUAAUACCGGAUGGCCCAACAGCUCUUCGGGGCGGUUGGAAAAGGUAGCUUCGGCCUCCGACCAAGGACGGGCCCGCGGCGGAUUAGCUUGUUGGUGAGGUAACGGCCCACCAAGGCGACGAUCCGUAGCUGGUCUGAGAGGACGAUCAGCCACACUGGGACUGAGACACGGCCCAGACUCCUACGGGAGGCAGUAGUGGGGAAUCUUGCGCAAUGGGCGAAAGCCUGACGCAGCGACGCCGCGUGGGGAGAAGGCUUUCGGGUUGUAACCCCUUCAGGAAGGACGAAGCUACUCGGGUUAAUAGCCCAGAGGGUGACGGUACUUCCAGAAGAAGCCCCGGCUAACUACGUGCCAGCCGCCGCCGUAAG
Molecule: ribosomal RNA, 523 nt
Filed under: uncultured bacterium
Lineage: Bacteria
Description: bacterial SSU rRNA
Rfam family: Bacterial small subunit ribosomal RNA
Source: RNAcentral